Molecule: long non-coding RNA, 464 nt
Organism: Homo sapiens (human)
Lineage: Eukaryota; Metazoa; Chordata; Mammalia; Primates; Hominidae
Exons: 4
Source: RefSeq, a predicted model, not a curated record
UGGGAGGUGGGUGGCUGCACACUCAAAACUGGCUUCCAACGGGACACAGACAUCAAAACAAAGAAGAGGGCCUCACGACAGGGUUGCCUUGCUUACUCAGCCCACAGCUCUCAAACCGUUGCGCGAGGAAGAGCACGCAGGAGAACAGGUGCAGGAGCCAGAGCAAGACAUUUAGGCACUGACGGGAACAAAACUCUGCAGCCCUGUGGCAGUGUCUAAGGAGGAUGCAUGCAUUAUUCUCCACGACUGAUACAGAAGUAAAUUCCAGAAAGCUUUAAAGUCAGUUUGUAUAAAGAGAGGUUCUCUUUGACUGUGAAACAGAAGAAAAUCUUUCCUUAACAAUAACUUACACGUGCCAUGAAAGAGAUGAAGCAGAAGAUUAAGCAGGAAACCCAGCUACUUUUUUGCCCUAAGGCAUUACUCAUUUUCCUGACACAUUAUGUUUUUAAUUAAAAUUACAUGUG